CGUUUACACUGGAUGCGUCGCGACGCGUUGCGAAGUGCGCUCGAGAUCGCUCUCCAUUGUUUCAAGUGACGCCGUUCACACUGAAAGCGCGGCACCUAACGACGACGCGCGGUGCCGCUGCUGAUUCUCUCGCUGAGCGUUUUUCGGCGCGACUGACCUUCGAAUUCCACGUGCUUUUUUGCGGCGGUGUCGGCUGCUUCCCGUGGGAAGUGGUUUUACAUUCUGCUUAGAUCAGAAGGUACCGCAUUUUAUAACUGCAAUAUCAAAUUAGGUACCGUUUAUCGUAAUUUAUAAGUUAAAUAUCCAAAUUAGGUACCGUUAUCUAGGUCAGAAUAAAAUUGAUUGCAAGUACUAGUGAAGGAUUGUAGUCUUUACUAUUUGCUAUACCGGUACCGGUAUGAAUUCUAACAACAAUUGUAUUUUGAAUUCAUUACAAACUUUGUUUCACAGUCAUGUCGUUUGAAGAGCUUUUAAUAAAUGAGGUGAAAUCUAGACCAUGUCUGUAUGACAUGAGUCCUCAUUAUCGUGAUGUUAAUAUCAAAUCCAACAAUUGGGCGGAGAUAGGAGCAUUGCUGGAUUUAUCUUGAUGGCAAAAUCACGUUGUCUAAAAUAUUUUCAAGUACACCAAAUUGAAAAUAAAAGCUUGCUUUGCUCAACUAACACCACAAUCUGAUAUAGCUAUUUAGGACAGCAGGCAAGAGAAGUCAAGAUGAAAAAUAAAAAUGAAAGUACCAUGGAGUCAGGGGCACCCCGAGGCGUUUCAACGAAUAAAUGGCAUCUAUUUGAACACAUGACUUUUUUAGAUUCCUUCGUGCAGCAUCGAAAAACGUCCUCAAAUUUAGAACUUGUCACUCUAUCAGCUGUGGUAGAAGGGGAAGAAGUGUCUGGGUCAUCUUCUGUCGCACCGACACCAAAAAAAGGAAGGAAGAAGUGAACAUGCGGAUUUUGAAAAUUCUUGAGGAGGAGAAGGAUGAUGAUCCAGACAAAUUCUUCCUUCUUUCACUUCUACCACAGCUGAAAAGACUGUCUCCUGAGCGUGCUUCAUCAACAAAGAUGAAAAUCAUGCAAUUACUCCAUGAGGCUGAAUUUGAGAAAUGAUUCAAAUUCAAU
Molecule: non-coding RNA, 1110 nt
Organism: Styela clava
Lineage: Eukaryota; Metazoa; Chordata; Ascidiacea; Stolidobranchia; Styelidae
Source: RefSeq, a predicted model, not a curated record